GUCAACGGUCAUGUACUGUCUCCUGGGUUGGGUCCCAGCAGUUCUAAUGGGGCGGAGUCUCACCACAGUGGCCCAAGGUGAGUGUAUCGCCUCGUGUACACCGGUUGCAUCAAACUGUGUUCCGGCAGAAGUCCAUUUAUUUAAGCCGCACCGCUGCGACUCCUCUGCCGGACUAGGUUGUGGUGCGUGGCACUGCGUGCAGUGUGCCACAUGCGUUGGUUUGCCGUGCAAUACCAGAAGUAAACCACACAAAAAGUUCCUAAUGUGUAGCAUGAUACUUUUUGUUGUGAUGCGGUGCAUGGAUUGUGAAGACUACGUGAGAUGUACCAUACAGCAAUAACCCGUGUGCACGCAGCAUUAGAUUGUUUUACCUAUUUUGUUUUAUCAGAUUCUCUCAUGAUCAUUUUGAUGUACAGUAAUUCAUGAAUGCUAUUGAUGUAUUUUUCUACAGCAAAGAGGUGUAUAGUGCCAUCUCCAGCCAGGACAGCCCGUCUCAGAGCCUCCACAGUGCCGACAGCGAUAGCCACCUCCCCCCAAGCCCAGAGAAAAGGACUAAAACUCACUCUGACCCCCUCCCUCACCACCCACCAUCAACCACUGCUAACCCGCCAUCCUCAUUGGCCGAUGUUGGCGCUAAGCCACCUACUGACACCAUGAGGGAAUCCAGCUCCACCUCCAACCCUGGGGCCUUACCCCUCCAGCCCACCCCCCACUCCCUCAGAACCCUAGUCUCUCCAGCCUUCUCCCAGCCCCUCUCUGGACCAGGCCUGGGGACCACAAAAGGCCUCGGAGCACCACACAGCAGAUCUGGUGAGGACGUUAGGGAGACUGAGAACAGCCCAGCAGCAGGGCUGGAUGGACGGCUGGACGGCAAGCCCAGCUCCAGAGAGGGAAGAGACCGGAUGUAUUCUUCUGAUCGGGAUAAGGGGAGAGACCGACUAUAUUCUUCGGACCGCGAUAAGGAUGGAGACCGGCUGUACUCUUCUGACCGGGAUAAAGACGGAGAAAGGAAUGGGUACCACCGUGACAUGAGCCGUGAACGCAACUGGGACCGUGACUCAGACCGCUAUCGACACCGGCGGGACCACAGAGAUCGAGAACACCACCGAGACCGAGAACACCACCGGUCGUACCGUGAUCGCUCGGCCAGCCGGGACAGACACUGGGAGUCAGAGCGUCGCUGGGAGAGGAACGCCUACUACCCCAGGGACAGAGACCGCUACCACAGACCCAGAGAGAACAGGGAGAGGGACAGGAGGGAGCACAGCCUCCCCCAUAGAGAGGAGCCUCACGGACGCUCCAGGUUGAGGGGGGAGAGGGGUGAACGUAAGGACAGGGGUGAUGGUAAGAGGGGUUACUACCCUUCACAGGAGGAGGGCCCCCUGCCCACCCCACUAAGCUCCAACACCAAACCCAGUCAGCCCCCCACUAGCCCAGACCUCUCCCCAGCCAGACCAGCUCUGGAGGAAAGACCCGAUCCUCUGAGAGAGGACAGCGUUGAGGAGCGUCGGGCCAAGAAACACAAGAAGAGCAAGAAGAAGAAGUCCAAGGACAAAGCUAGGCGUCGAGAGAAUGGGACCUCUGAUGUGGAUUCCUCUGACAGGGCUGCCGAUGGCAGCAAGUCCUCCAAACACAAGAAGAAGAAGAAGAAGAGGAGGCACGACACUAACAUGGAGGACGAGAAGUCCCGCUCUACCCAGAGUUCCGAGGGGCACCGUGACCCCAACGCCCCCCAGGAGAGUCGCAGGGCGAGCAGCAGUGACGAGGAGAGGGCGAGCAGGAAGCGACGUUACCAGGACGAUGAUGGCUCUGACAAUAGCUACCCCGAGAAACACCAUCGCUCCGAUGACAACAAAGACCGCUUCUUCUCUCGCAACGCAUCGCACCACCACCUCAACGGGCACACAGGUAAUGGCUUCAGUCGACCCAAUGGAAACUCCCACGGAUGUUCUACCAAUGGACUGUACAAUGAAUGA
Molecule: long non-coding RNA, 1976 nt
Filed under: Oncorhynchus kisutch (coho salmon)
Lineage: Eukaryota; Metazoa; Chordata; Actinopteri; Salmoniformes; Salmonidae
Description: lncRNA (ENSOKIG00005010170.1)
Source: RNAcentral